Molecule: ribosomal RNA, 730 nt
Filed under: uncultured eukaryote
Lineage: Eukaryota
Description: SSU rRNA
Rfam family: Eukaryotic small subunit ribosomal RNA
Source: RNAcentral
CGGGUGCACUGAUCCAGCCGGGCCUUUCCCUCUGUGGAACCCCAUGGCCUUCACUGGCUGUGGCGGGGAAACAGGACUUUUACUUUGAAAAAAUUAGAGUGCUCCGGGCAGGCCUAUGCUCGAAUACAUUAGCAUGGAAUAAUAGAAUAGGACGUGUGGUUCUAUUUUGUUGGUUUCUAGGACCGCCGUAAUGAUUAAUAGGGACAGUCGGGGGCAUCAGUAUUCAAUUGUCAGAGGUGAAAUUCUUGGAUCUAUUGAAGACUAACUACUGCGAAAGCAUUUGCCAAGGAUGUUUUCAUUGAUAAGGAACGAAAGUUAGGGGAUCGAACACGAUCAUAUACCGUCGUACUCUUAACUAUAAACUAUGCCGACUAGGGAUCGGACGAUGUUAUUCUUUGACGCGUUCGGCACCUUUCGAGAAAUCAAAGUGCUUGGGCUCCAGGGGGAGUAUGGUCGCAAGGCUGAAACUUAAAGAAAUUGACGGAAGGGCACCCCCCGGGGGGGAACCUGCGGCUUAAUUUGACUCAACACGGGGAAACUCUCCAGGUCCAGACACAGUGAGGAUUGACAGAUUGAGAGCUCUUUCUUGAUUCUGUGGGGUGGUGGUGCAUGGCCGUUCUUAGUUGGUGGAGUGAUUUGUCUGCUUAAUUGCGAUAACGAACGAGACCUCAACCUCCUAAAUAGCCCCUACUGCUUUGGCAGUUCGCCGGCUUCUUUGAGGGACGAUCGG